Molecule: ribosomal RNA, 460 nt
Filed under: uncultured bacterium
Lineage: Bacteria
Description: partial 16S ribosomal RNA
Rfam family: Bacterial small subunit ribosomal RNA
Source: RNAcentral
CCUACGGGAGGCAGCAGUGAGGAAUAUUGGUCAAUGGACGAGAGUCUGAACCAGCCAAGUAGCGUGAAGGAUGACUGCCCUAUGGGUUGUAAACUUCUGUUAUAAAGGAAUAAAACGAGGCACGUGUGCCUUUUUGCAUGUACUGUAUGAAUAAAGAUCGGCUAACUCCGUGCCAGCAGCCGCGGUAAUACGGAGGAUCCGAGCGUUAUCCGGAUUUAUUGGGGUUAAAGGGAGCGUAGAUGGGUUGUUAAGUCAGUUGUGAAAGUUUGCGGCUCAACCGUAAAAUUGCAAUUGAUACUGGCAGUCUUGAUUACAGUUGAGGUAGGCGGAAUUCGUGGUGUAGCGGUGCACUGCUUAGAUAUCACGAAGAACCCCGAUUGCGACGGCAGCUUACUAAACUGUGCCUGACAUUGAUGCUCGACAGUGUGGGUAUCAAACAGGAUUAGCUACCCGUGUAGUC